AGGGCCAAAGUGCCUAAUGGCUAGAAAAAAAGGGAAUGUUGACAAAAGAAAACAUAGUGGGAGAGAUAAAAUAAGGAUAUCAAAGGGUGGAAGCCAAUGAGAGAUGAAUCAAAGAAAGCAAGUUGCCACUAAACAAAAGAAGCAAAUGAAAGUAUAGAGUGAACUAGAUCGAGGACUGCGCUCCUCCUCCCCCCGCUGACGGCCUCCCUGGCCAUCGCCGGUCUUCAACUCCGCUGUUGGUGGGCUCCUUAGCUUGUUCCCUGCUCCCGUUUCGCUCCAUGGCGGGGCUCCUCGCUUGGGGCGCAUCAUGGAGUCGAUUGCUCCCCUAAGGGGGAUGUGACUAGCUCUGGUUGCUCUGUUCACCAGACAUGUGAUCCUUGUUAUUGUGGUCUUCCUGUCGCUUACAAGUACAUACGAGAGUGAGAAGAUUCAUGUUGAUCAAGUUUUGGAGAAGGUUCAUCCACCAAUGGUGUUGGUACCAAAUGCCACCUGGACAUGUCAUCUUGGCAAUUAGUGCAAUUAUUUUGGUCUUGAAAUGUGAUCUGGACAUGUUAUAUUGGCAUAUAUACAUGUAUAGUGUCAUUAUUUUGGUCUUGAGAUAUGAUCUGGACUUGUCAUAUUGGCAUAUAGUGUCGUUAUUUUGGUCUAAUGUGAUUUGCGCAUGUAAACCAUUCUAGAUGUGAUCAGGGCAUGUGAACCAUUCUAUGUAUAUAUAUGAUGCUUAAAUAUGACUCUGACCUCUAA
Molecule: long non-coding RNA, 744 nt
Organism: Sorghum bicolor (sorghum)
Lineage: Eukaryota; Viridiplantae; Streptophyta; Magnoliopsida; Poales; Poaceae
Exons: 2
Source: RefSeq, a predicted model, not a curated record